AGCUCAAAUUUGAAAUCUGGCGUAAGCCCGAGUUGUAAUUUGUAGAGGAUGCUUCUGGGUAGCGGCCGGUCUAAGUUCCUUGGAACAGGACGUCAUAGAGGGUGAGAAUCCCGUAUGUGACUGGCUUGCACCCUCCACGUAGCUCCUUCGACGAGUCGAGUUGUUUGGGAAUGCAGCUCUAAAUGGGAGGUAAAUUUCUUCUAAAGCUAAAUACCGGCCAGAGACCGAUAGCGCACAAGUAGAGUGAUCGAAAGAUGAAAAGCACUUUGGAAAGAGAGUUAAAAAGCACGUGAAAUUGUUGAAAGGGAAGCGCCCGCAACCAGACUUUGCGGCGGUGUUCGGCUGGUCUUCUGACCGGUUUACUCGCCGCCGUGAGGCCAUCAUCGUCUGGGACCGCUGGAUAAGACCUGAGGAAUGUAGCUCCCUUCGGGGUGUGUUAUAGCCUCUGGUGAUGCAGCGCGUCUCGGGCGAGGUCCGCGCUUCGGCAAGGAUGAUGGCGUAAUGGUUGUCGGCGGCCCGUCUUGAAACACGGACCAAGGAGUCUAACAUCUAUGCGAGUGUUCGGGUGUCAAACCCCUACGCGUAAUGAAAGUGAACGGAGGUGGGAACUUUUUGUGCACCAUCGACCGAUCUUGAUGUCCUCGGAUGGAUUUGAGUAAGAGCAUAGCUGUUGGGACCCGAAAGAUGGUGAACUAUGCCUGAAUAGGGUGAAGCCAGAGGAAACUCUGGUGGA
This 733-nucleotide ribosomal RNA is filed under the name Pseudocercospora punicae. RNAcentral describes it as "eukaryotic LSU rRNA". It matches the Rfam family "Eukaryotic large subunit ribosomal RNA", at positions 106 to 871 of the family's 3401-position model. Lineage: Eukaryota; Fungi; Ascomycota; Dothideomycetes; Mycosphaerellales; Mycosphaerellaceae. The record is from RNAcentral.